GACGAACGCUGGCGGCGUGCUUAACACAUGCAAGUCGAACGGAAAGGCCCCUUUGGGGGUACUCGAGUGGCGAACGGGUGAGUAACACGUGAGUAACCUGCCCUUGACUUCGGGAUAACUUCAGGAAACUGGGGCUAAUACCGGAUAGGAAUCCUUGCUGCAUGGUGGGGGUUGGAAAGCUUCGGCGGUUUUGGAUGGACUCGCGGCUUAUCAGCUUGUUGGUGGGGUAGUGGCUUACCAAGGCUUUGACGGGUAGCCGGCCUGAGAGGGCGACCGGCCACAUUGGGACUGAGAUACGGCCCAGACUCCUACGGGAGGCAGCAGUGGGGAAUAUUGCACAAUGGGCGGAAGCCUGAUGCAGCAACGCCGCGUGCGGGAGGACGGCUUUCGGGUUGUAAACCGCUUUCAGCAGGGGCGAAGCUUGUGGUGACGGUACCUGCAGAAGAAGCACCGGCUAACUACGUG
This 465-nucleotide ribosomal RNA is filed under the name uncultured bacterium. RNAcentral's name for it is "partial 16S ribosomal RNA". It matches the Rfam family "Bacterial small subunit ribosomal RNA", at positions 28 to 507 of the family's 1533-position model. The record is from RNAcentral.